UAAGGAAUCUUCCACAAUGGGGGCAACCCUGAUGGAGCAACACCGCGUGAAGGAUGAAGGCCCUCGGGUCGUAAACUUCUUUUAUAAGUGAGGAAUAUGACGGUAACUUAUGAAUAAGGGUCGGCUAACUACGUGCCAGCAGCCGCGGUCAUACGUAGGACCCAAGCGUUAUCCGGAGUGACUGGGCGUAAAGAGUUGCGUAGGCGGUCUGUAAAGCAAAUAGUGAAAUCUGGUGGCUCAACCAUCAACCCAUUGUUUGAACUCACAGACUCGAGAGUGGUAGAGGUAGCUGGAAUUUCUUGUGUAGGAGUGAAAUCCGUAGAUAUAAGAAGGAACACCAAUGGCGUAGGCAGGCUACUGGACCAUUUCUGACGCUGAGGCACGAAAGCGUGGGGAGCGA
RNAcentral lists this ribosomal RNA (400 nucleotides) under uncultured bacterium. Its description in RNAcentral is "bacterial SSU rRNA". It matches the Rfam family "Bacterial small subunit ribosomal RNA", at positions 355 to 771 of the family's 1533-position model. The record is from RNAcentral.